Molecule: microRNA precursor, 90 nt
Filed under: bovine alphaherpesvirus 1
Lineage: Duplodnaviria; Heunggongvirae; Peploviricota; Herviviricetes; Herpesvirales; Orthoherpesviridae
Description: Bovine alphaherpesvirus 1 pre-miRNA Bhv1-mir-B2
Source: RNAcentral
CGCCGGCGCAUUGUGGAGACGGGCAGCGCGGACGAGCUACGGAGAGCCGAGGGCCACGUCCGCGCGAUGCUGCUGCACCUAUACGCCGGC